UGGUAAUAAUUGCCAUAUUUGUAGAUGUUCUCUUGAAAAUGCGCCGGUGAGGGCUUGGGUUGUUUUGAAGCAGAGUAGGACUAGUGCUGCCUGGUUUGGCACUCUGGCUUCGGCUUCUGGGUCUGAGAAGGGUGUUCCCGUCACUUCUGCUGAGGAGGUGGAGGACUCCUUAAGUGGGGUUGAGGAUAAAGAGGAAAAUGUGAGUGCCUCGGAGGAGAAGCCCGGGUUACAUAGGAG
This 237-nucleotide unclassified non-coding RNA is filed under the name Hevea brasiliensis (rubber tree). Lineage: Eukaryota; Viridiplantae; Streptophyta; Magnoliopsida; Malpighiales; Euphorbiaceae. The record is from RNAcentral.